Molecule: ribosomal RNA, 496 nt
Filed under: uncultured bacterium
Lineage: Bacteria
Description: partial 16S ribosomal RNA
Rfam family: Bacterial small subunit ribosomal RNA
Source: RNAcentral
GAUGAACGCUGGCGGCGUGCCUAAUACAUGCAAGUCGAGCGAACAGACGAGGAGCUUGCUCCUCUGACGUUAGCGGCGGACGGGUGAGUAACACGUGGAUAACCUACCUAUAAGACUGGGAUAACUUCGGGAAACCGGAGCUAAUACCGGAUAAUAUAUUGAACCGCAUGGUUCAAUAGUGAAAGACGGUUUUGCUGUCACUUAUAGAUGGAUCCGCGCCGCAUUAGCUAGUUGGUAAGGUAACGGCUUACCAAGGCAACGAUGCGUAGCCGACCUGAGAGGGGGAUCGGCCCCACAGGAACUGAGACACGAACCAAACCCCUACGGGAGGCAGGAGGAGGGAAGCUUCCGGAAUGGGCGAAAGCCUGACGGAGCAACGCCGCGGGAGUGAAGAAGGUCUUCGGAUCGGAAAACCUUUUUUUUAGGGAAGAAAAAAAGUGUAAGUAACUAUGCCCGGCUUGAGGGUACCGAAACAGAAAGCCCCGGCUAACUACGG